UACGUAGGGUCCGAGCGUUGUCCGGAGUUACUGGGCGUAAAGCGCGCGCAGGCGGCGGUGUAAGCAUGGCGUGAAAGCCCCUGGCUUAACCAGGGAGGGUCGUCGUGGACUGCACCGCUUGAGGGCGGUAGGGGCUGGUGGAAUGCCUGGUGUAGUGGUGAAAUGCGUAGAGAUCAGGCGGAACACCCGUGGCGAAGGCGGCCAGCUGGGCCGUCCCUGACGCUGAGGCGCGAAGGCGUGGGGAGCGAACGGGAUUAGAAACCCCAGUAGUCC
This 273-nucleotide ribosomal RNA is filed under the name uncultured prokaryote. RNAcentral's name for it is "partial 16S ribosomal RNA". It matches the Rfam family "Bacterial small subunit ribosomal RNA", at positions 524 to 796 of the family's 1533-position model. The record is from RNAcentral.